RNAcentral lists this small RNA (578 nucleotides) under human gut metagenome. The record is from RNAcentral.
UAGAAAUCGGUGGUGCAUUAUUCUAGUUAUACUGUCUACUACGAGGGUGGGGCUAAAAAUCCACUAAAGGGCACAUCGUUGAAGUUUCUUGUUGAUGCGCGGAAUGCCAGUUUUGUGUGUUUUCAGGAAGUAAGAUUAUAGGGAAUUAUGUAAUGGCAUACAUAAUAAUCCCCUAUCGUCGCGGAGGCUUGAAAUUUUUAGUGCUUUCAAGUAUAACCUAUAUAAAGUGCCAAGACACAAUAUAUAGCGUAGCCUGUCUUGAGUGGUAGUUUUGGGAUUAACAUCUGAGGUAAUUAUUAUUUGGCCAAAAAUAAUUAUUUAUAUCGGUUAUGAAAUUUCUACUGCAAAAGAGACUAGUAAUAGAGCUAAGUAUAUUAAGGAAAACUUCUAGAAUGUUUGCGUAAGCAUAAAAAUUUAAGGAUUAAAGUACGGACUUAAGUGGCAAUCUGGUAAUCAAUUAAUCUUUUGAUUAUUUUCUUUAAACGGAAACGGCUAAACAGUAAUGGUUAGUAGAAAAUAGAGAAAUUCGACCAGACCUAAACCGUAGAAUUUACUUAAAUUUUACCACCACAACUUUU